AGUGCGCAGUCCCACUGGCUCUUCUGAAGCAAGCUAAUUCAGAUGGGUGGGGUGGGUCAAGAACGGAGCCGAACUUAAAGACACUCAGUAAGCUUCUUUUAGGGAUUCAUGUGGUUUUAGAGAAGCUGAGGCCAUUAUUGCUCCAGAGAUGGGACACAUGACCUACACAAGUCAAUCAGCACAUCCCAGCAAUCUGGCUACAGUGAUUGGUUUCCGGUGGGCAUGUGAGCUAAUCCAGACCAGUCAGACCGAAUCCUAGGUCUUCUUCUUGGAGUUGGAGGACAAAGUGUGUUAAAACUGUGACCUAUCAAUUUGGAAGUCAAGAAGCUGUGAGCUGUGAGAAGAGAAGUUUCAGGAGGAAACAAGCAGGUGGCCUGUGGCACAGACAGAAAAGUGCAUUACCAACCUCAUGAUCAUGAUGGCCCAAGGAGACCUUCUCUCGAUUGUGAAGGGUGGAAAGAGAGAAAACAGCAGGAAAGGCCAGGUCAUGGCAUGAGUGCUGACCCAAGAAGUGAAGAUAAUCAGCCUGGAAGGAUGGCGUACGUGCUUCAAAUCUGCUUUCAAAAAACUGAAUAAUGUAUGUUUCUCUAUUGACUCUAAAUUUUGGAGCUCUAGCUUACUCAAAUUGCUUGUGUUGAGUAUCUGGAAAAGCACUAGAAAGGUGGUAAAAAUACUUCAUGUGUAUCAACCCCUGCCAUUCUGCAGUGGAUUCUAUACAGAAGAAUAAGGUGGGGAAAGGCUACAAAAGCAGGAGAAGUCUCCUGAUGCCUGAAGGGACCCAAGGGAUGGUCCCCAGCUGGGCUGGCUGAAUGGGUUCGAGUUGCAGCUUGGCAGCUGCUCACAUUCUGUCUCCCAGACAUCUCCUUUGGCUGAGGUAUGUGGACUUAGAGGAUGGCUUGAAGAGAUGGUUUCUCAGUGUGUUUUAGUAUUUAGUGGACUGGUUACUACUGUACUGUAAUAUGCCCACAUCCAGAACUGGGUUAAGACCCUGAAUCUUUCAUAUCUAACUACCUUUGACUUGAUUUCUUUUCUUUGUGAAUCAAGAACAACCUAUCACCUUUUGCCUUUAGUGGUGUACUGUCUGUCCUACCUUUAAUCAUUUCACUAACAGUUUUGGUAUCAUAUUCUCCUGAUGCAUUAAGAACUUCUUAUACAAUGAAGUUUUCUGGGUCUUCGUCUCUACUAAUAUAACACCAGGUGUAAUUGGGCUCUUCACUACUGUUAGAAAGGAAAAAAAAAAGCAAGCCUAGUUUUUAAAUGUAUAAUUCACACAUGGAUACCUCAUCUCUAUCCAUAUACUUAAUUAUAGAUUGUAAAACUAAUUAUGUACACUUUGGCAUUUCCCUCUGAUGCUCCUUCAGAUAUUCUACAUUCAUCUUCACAACAUCUUUGUAAGGUAUGACCAAAAGAUCAAUUAUUUUCCUCUAAUGGGAAGAAGAAAUGGAAAGUAGUUUGCCAAGGUCACUCAUCGUUAGUGCUGGAACUUGGUGGCCUGAAGCCCAGGUCUCAUGAUUGUUGCUCCAGUGCUCAAUCCAGGAAGUCAUGUUGCCUCCCCAACCAAGUUGGUAACUUGGGAGUGGCUCUAGGUCAGAUAAGCAGGCAGACCUCCCCCUGAGGCAUUCACCAAGUAUAUUAGUCCAUUUUCACACUACUGAUAAAGAUAUACCUGAGACUGGGCAAUAUACAAAAGAAAGAGGUUUAAUGGACUUACAUUGCACAUGGCUUGGGAGGCCUCACAAUCAUGGCAGAAGGCAAGGAGGAGCAAGUCAUGUCUUACAUGGAUGGCCUCAGGCAAAGACAGUGCUUGUGCAGGGAAACUCCCCUUUUUAGAACCAUCAGAUGUCAUGAGACUUAUUCACUAUCAGGAGAACAGCAUGGAAAAGACCUGUCUCCAUGAUUCAAUUACCUCCCACUAGGUCCCUCCCACAACACAUAAAAAUUCAAGAUGAGACCUGGGUGGGGACACAGCCAAACAAUAUCAGCAAGCCAGAGAGGAUGCAACCAAGUGCAUGGUCAAACCUGUUCUCACCCUUCAACCAGAAAGCAGCAUAUACGCAAUAGAUUACACAACAAUCAAGAAGCAGCCCCCAUCUCCAUCCAGUGCAACAGACCAUGCUGGAGCACCUCUGCCUUAUAAAGCCCUUGUUGUUACAAUGAUAGCAAAAGCAGAGGUGCUAUGUCACAUUAAUGGCAUAGUCAGUCACAUUAAGCUCCUUAAAAAUAAAGUUUAAUGUAUGUAAGGCUCUAAGGUAUUUCUCAUGGCUCAUCCCAUUUAAUCCUUACAAAAAAUUAUGAGGUAAAUAUAAUAACCCUGAUAUAGAAACUGGCAAGUGCCAGAGUGAGGUUCUAAACCCAGUUCUGUUCACUCUACCCUCCCAUUGCUAGAGCCGGAGGCUCUUUGUGGGAUGUCACAAAGCAGGUCACUACCACUUUUGGGGACAGGAGAGACAAACUCGAGUAAAUGACUCUUGGAGGCCAGCUCAGUAGAGAAGAGCAAGCAAAGUGGAACAAAUUGCCCUUGAGUUACCUCUCGACUGUGGUACUAAUUUAACUUUGUGACCUUGGCAUAGUCAAGCCCAGUGACGAAGUGAUUCCAUAGCCAUACAAAUGAUUUCUGACUAAAAUGGGCACCUGGAGGGUGAAAAAUAAUGAAUUUCCAUAUGAAUGAGCGGAUUAUGGGAUAUGCCUCUCCAGUGGGCUGGGCCUCACUCUCACUUUUUGUCACUCUUUUCUCCUCAUCACUGCUGCAUUUUUAAGGGCCUUAAAUAACUCCUGCAUUCUAGAUAUACACUCCAGUGUAAAUAUGCAGAACAUUUUGACACUUAAAAAUAUGUCCAUAGCGAAGUAGGACAGGUUGGAAUUAUAGUAGCCUGGAGGCAUAAGGAAGAGAAAGGAGUAAUACUUUACUUUCUGAAGUUACAAGGAAUAGUUUUACCAGCCAAUUGCUGCAGAGGGAGGAUAAAAUUACUAAUCAAAUCAACAAAUGCAUAGGCUAGAAAACAAAUAAAUUAUUUCAGCACUAUUUCAGAAACCCAUGUUUCAUCAAUGAUAAAUCACUAAGUAGAAGGGAAGCUACGAGUACUGUACUUAUUUUAAAGACUCAAAAUAUGACUCAACAUCUUCAUGGAGUGAUAUAUUCAUUUAUUCAAAAGUGAACCAUCAUAAUAUAUGAAUGGGUAUACCGCAUUUACAUAUAAUAUGCCAGGCAGUGAUAAAUCAGAACUACGAACACCCACUGCCUCAGUUCCCCGAUGAUAGCCUCAACUAAUUUCUGCCUGAUAAAGCAAACAAGUAAACAAAAUGAUUGUCCCGGUUUCCUAAAGAGUCUUGUACUGAAUCCUC
Molecule: long non-coding RNA, 3342 nt
Organism: Homo sapiens (human)
Lineage: Eukaryota; Metazoa; Chordata; Mammalia; Primates; Hominidae
Source: Ensembl